Long non-coding RNA from Electrophorus electricus (electric eel), 1871 nucleotides. RefSeq lists it as uncharacterized. The record is from RefSeq and is a predicted model, not a curated record. NCBI's taxonomy places the organism in Eukaryota, Metazoa, Chordata, Actinopteri, Gymnotiformes, Gymnotidae.
GCUGAGGGGUAGAGGGGGGAGAUGCGAAGAUUGAAAGGGAUCUUUGCAAACACAAUCACGUUCUUAAAUGGAAAUGUGGGGCUUUAAACAAAUCUUACAUCUCUCCUGUUUCAGUCGUCUAAACUCCGCAAUCAGGCACACACUCCUUCUAAAACCGCAGCUGUUUAGAAGAUCUUUUGGGUGUUUCCACGGGCUUUGGAGGAGAAAUACGCCGAAAUAUUUAGGAAAAGUCGACAUUAGACCAGAAUGUUUCGCCAUGGGCAGUGUGGAGAUGUGUGUGUGUGUCUAGGGAGUGUUGGCUAGGCCAGUGAGCCGCGGUGCUGUUGACAGUGGUAAAUGAUGCCGUAGCAAGGCUCUCUGCUAAUCACACAGUCCACCCGACAACUCGUGUGAGCAAGCGAGCUUGGCUGGAAAAGAAACUUCGACCUACUUACCAGCUACUUCUGAAUUAGGAAAAUUCCAAAGUGAUCCAUUAGGAGUUUGUUUUACUGCAUCCAUUACUAAAAGGCUGGAUGUGUGUGAGGUGUGAGAAAGAGUGAGGCCCAGGUGUGCUGCCUAAAGCAAGAACAUACACUCCCAGGUAGGUCUCCAGGGACUCAUCACCGAGACGAUCAAUUUCCAUCACACAAACGCACAAACGCAUGUGUGUACUCUUGUGCACAUGCACGGUUUUCUACUUCUUUCACUUGUGUUCCAUUUGACUAGUCUAUUCUUUUUUGAGCACAAACUGUUAAUAGAGUGAAAAGUUUUGCGAUUUGUGUUACAUUUUGGAAAAAUGGAAAUGUUUAGUGCUAAAAUGUUACAUGAGAAAUAUUAAAUGUUGAAAGUACAUUAGUUAUCAGGUGGCAUGAGCUACACAUGGCAAUGAGUGUGGGACCCACGAGGUAAUAAUAAUAAUAAUAAUAAUAAUAAUAAUGAUGAUUUGAGAUAAAAUAUGUGACAAAACAAUCUUUCAUGUUUAUGGAUUGUAUUACCUUAAGCAAGACAGUAUCAGAAGUUCAUAGAUAAUAAAAUGGACCCAAGACCUACAAUAAGAUUAAAAUGUACUGCACAAUGUCUUACUGAUAGUCAUUUCAAAUAUUUAACAUCCCAGUACAUGUGAAAAGCACCUGCACAGUACCUAUAUAAGACAGGUUUAUUAUAUUUUUCAAAUUAGACACUCAACAGGAAAGAUCAUUUUUUCAAUGGUUGCAUUUGGUUGCUUAACACAACAAUCACUGAAUUUAAAAAAUGAUUGCAGGCUUGGGAGUAGUUAUUUGCAGCGGUUUAGUAAUAUGUGUGUUAUGUUUGAAGUAUAAUGCUAAUGUAUGUUUUAAAUAAUAUGUGAUUCGGCAUCAAUGUUACAGUUUAGUACUGUCUGUUAAAUAUUCGAAGGAUGUGAAAAUAAAGGAAUUAAUUCAGUUAAGCAAGAAAAGUCCCCUGCAAUGUCAACCAUUUAAGAUAAGAUUAAUUUUUAGUGUUGUGCCAACUCAACCUUAAGAAAGACUUAAUCAAGACCAAGACCUUAGCCAAUAAAGUCAGAGUUCAUACUAAGACUAACAGGAUUGUGGGUCAGAUUUUAUAUGGUCACAGUUCUAUGUUCCAGACCAGGUAAAAAUGUACCUGAAUGUAUGAUGACUGAGACAUGUGGUCUUGAGUCCCAUCUUUAGUACUGCAACACUGUUAUUUUCUUUAUUGAUAUUUGCAGAUUUCUGAAUAGUUUGACCUGGUGGUAACUAGAAAUAUCAUCUUUAUAGUGUGUGUAGAUACUGGGGUGCAGACGUUGGUUGCUUAAUAAUAUUGUAACCCAAAUAAACUAAUAUGAAAUAACUGCAAACCAAAGCACACACUAGCUCAUGCCCUGUUCUUGCCUAUAUUUUAUGCAGUGUUAA